Molecule: ribosomal RNA, 189 nt
Filed under: uncultured bacterium
Lineage: Bacteria
Description: partial 16S ribosomal RNA
Rfam family: Bacterial small subunit ribosomal RNA
Source: RNAcentral
UCUGCAACCCGACUCCGUGAAGCUGGAUUCGCUAGUAAUCGCGCAUCAGCCAUGGCGCGGUGAAUACGUUCCCGGGCCUUGUACACACCGCCCGUCAAGCCAUGGGAGCCGGGGGUGCCUGAAGUUCGUGACCGCAAGGAGCGACCUAGGGCAAAACUGGUGACUGGGGCUAAGUCGUAACAAGGUACC